RNAcentral lists this transfer RNA (83 nucleotides) under Oscillospiraceae bacterium. RNAcentral describes it as "tRNA-Leu". It matches the Rfam family "tRNA". From Rfam's summary of the family: Transfer RNA (tRNA) molecules are approximately 80 nucleotides in length. Their secondary structure includes four short double-helical elements and three loops (D, anti-codon, and T loops). The record is from RNAcentral. Lineage: Bacteria; Bacillati; Bacillota; Clostridia; Eubacteriales; Oscillospiraceae.
GCGGGCGUGGCGGAAUUGGCAGACGCGCCAGACUUAGGAUCUGGUGGUUAUCCGUGCAGGUUCAAGUCCUGUCGCCCGCACCA